GACACGACUCUCGGCAAUGGAUAUCUCGGCUCUCGCACCGAUGAAGAGCGCAGCGAAAUGCGAUACGUGGUGCGAAUUGCAGAAUCCCGCGAAC
Molecule: ribosomal RNA, 94 nt
Filed under: Stenia saccata
Lineage: Eukaryota; Viridiplantae; Streptophyta; Magnoliopsida; Asparagales; Orchidaceae
Description: 5.8S ribosomal RNA
Rfam family: 5.8S ribosomal RNA
About the family: 5.8S ribosomal RNA (5.8S rRNA) is a component of the large subunit of the eukaryotic ribosome. It is transcribed by RNA polymerase I as part of the 45S precursor that also contains 18S and 28S rRNA.
Source: RNAcentral